GAUGAACGCUGGCGGCGUGCUUAACACAUGCAAGUCGAACGGAGUGCCUUUGAAAGAGGAUUCGUCCAAUUGAUAAGGUUACUUAGUGGCGGACGGGUGAGUAACGCGUGAGGAACCUGCCUUGGAGUGGGGAAUAACACAGUGAAAAUUGUGCUAAUACCGCAUAAUGCAGUUGGGUCGCAUGACUCUGACUGCCAAAGAUUUAUCGCUCUGAGAUGGCCUCGCGUCUGAUUGGCUAGUUGGUGGGGUAACGGCCCACCAAGGCGACGAUCAGUAGCCGGACUGAGAGGUUGGCCGGCCACAUUGGGACUGAGACACGGCCCAGACUCCUACGGGAGGCAGCAGUGGGGAAUAUUGGGCAAUGGGCGCAAGCCUGACCCAGCAACGCCGCGUGAAGGAAGAAGGCUUUCGGGUUGUAAACUUCUUUUCUUAGGGACGAAGCAAGUGACG
RNAcentral lists this ribosomal RNA (450 nucleotides) under uncultured bacterium. RNAcentral describes it as "bacterial SSU rRNA". It matches the Rfam family "Bacterial small subunit ribosomal RNA", at positions 28 to 474 of the family's 1533-position model. The record is from RNAcentral.